RNAcentral lists this ribosomal RNA (338 nucleotides) under uncultured bacterium. RNAcentral describes it as "bacterial SSU rRNA". It matches the Rfam family "Bacterial small subunit ribosomal RNA", at positions 157 to 495 of the family's 1533-position model. The record is from RNAcentral.
UUUGGAUUAAUGCCCUAUAGUAUCUUUCUAAGGCAUCUUAUUAAGAUUAAAGGUUACGGUAUGAGAUGAGUAUGCGUUCUAUUAGCUUGUAGGUGUGGUAACGGCACACCUAGGCUACGAUAGAUAGGGGCCCUGAGAGGGGGAUCCCCCACACUGGUACUGAGACACGGACCAGACUCCUACGGGAGGCAGCAGUAAGGAAUAUUGGACAAUGGGCGAAAGCCUGAUCCAGCCAUGCCGCGUGCAGGAUGACUGCCCUAUGGGUUGUAAACUGCUUUUAUAUAGGAAGAAAAAUUUUCUCGUGAGAAAACUUGACGGUACUAUAAGAAUAAGGAUCG